AGUGAACGCUGGCGGUAGGCCUAACACAUGCAAGUCGAACGGCAGCACAGUAAGAGCUUGCUCUUACGGGUGGCGAGUGGCGGACGGGUGAGGAAUACAUCGGAAUCUACUUUUUCGUGGGGGAUAACGUAGGGAAACUUACGCUAAUACCGCAUACGACCUACGGGUGAAAGCAUGGGAUCUUCGGACCUUGCGUGAUUGAAUGAGCCGAUGUCGGAUUAGCGAGUUGGCGGGGUAAAGGCCCACCAAGGCGACGAUCCGUAGCUGGUCUGAGAGGAUGAUCAGCCACACUGGAACUGAGACACGGUCCAGACUCCUACGGGAGGCAGCAGUGGGGAAUAUUGGACAAUGGGCGCAAGCCUGAUCCAGCCAUACCGCGUGGGUGAAGAAGGCCUUCGGGUUGUAAAGCCCUUUUGUUGGGAAAGAAAAGCAGCAGGUUAAUACCCCGCUGUUCUGACGGUACCCAAAGAAUAAGCACCGGCUAACUUCGUG
This 492-nucleotide ribosomal RNA is filed under the name uncultured bacterium. RNAcentral describes it as "partial 16S ribosomal RNA". It matches the Rfam family "Bacterial small subunit ribosomal RNA", at positions 29 to 507 of the family's 1533-position model. The record is from RNAcentral.